GCUAAGUUUGAUGGCGACCGGCGCACGGGUGAGUAACACGUAUCCAACCUGCCGAUGACUCGGGGAUAGCCUUUCGAAAGAAAGAUUAAUACCCGAUGGCAUAGUUCUUCCGCAUGGUGGAACUAUUAAAGAAUUUCGGUUAUCGAUGGGGAUGCGUUCCAUUAGGCAGUUGGUGGGGUAACGGCCCACCAAACCUUCGAUGGAUAGGGGUUCUGAGAGGAAGGUCCCCCACAUUGGAACUGAGACACGGUCCAAACUCCUACGGGAGGCAGCAUG
RNAcentral lists this ribosomal RNA (276 nucleotides) under uncultured bacterium. Its description in RNAcentral is "partial 16S ribosomal RNA". It matches the Rfam family "Bacterial small subunit ribosomal RNA", at positions 77 to 353 of the family's 1533-position model. The record is from RNAcentral.